Molecule: non-coding RNA, 664 nt
Organism: Physcomitrium patens
Lineage: Eukaryota; Viridiplantae; Streptophyta; Bryopsida; Funariales; Funariaceae
Source: RefSeq, a predicted model, not a curated record
CCCAUCUCUCUCUUGAGUUUUUUUUAUUUCCUGUGCAAGUUCGGAGGUCGGAGCGCUCAAAAAUUCUCCUGUCUAGGUUUAUUGGCGCGAGGCAUUUUGGGGUUCCGACGGGGUUCCGACUCUUAGAGAGUUCUCUUCCGGUGCGGCGCUGCUAGUCGUGCAGCGGUUGAACUGAUUGAACGCAUCUGCACCUUCUGAAUUUUCUUCCCUCUGCAUCUGCGCCUUAUGGAUUCCCUUUCCCGUGCAUCUACAAUAAAAGCUGUUGUGCGACACUACAAGCGCAUCGCAUGGAGGGUUGUAGUGGCGGCUAGAUGGUCGACUGAGCGUGUGGGAGCGCAUCCCGUGGACUAGGAGCUUGUCUUCAAUGGCUAUUCAUCGGGUGGUUGUAGGCAACAUUAUCAGCAACGUGUUGAUUGUGUUGUUUUUUGGUGGAGCUCAAAGCAGCGGCGGCCACUCUACCUUUUGGCUGGUAUUCCUCAACGUGUGAAUCUCACGGUGGAGGGAAUUUAUCGGCAUCAGUGGAAGCGUGGAAUGAGCAGGACGUCGUCUACCUCUGCUUUGCAAUUCUUAUUUAAUCUUUGCUGAGCGAUUGAAGCAUCCCUUGUUGACCAUUCCUUGCUCCUUGCUUCCUUCAAGCGGACCGUCAACGCGGCUUUGGUUUGUA